UGACUAUGUAUGUUGCUAUACACAACUUGAAAAAUUAUAGAACAAUAUAAUUCAAAUUAUUAUCUAAUUUUUGUAUCAAUUUCGGUUAUUAAAAUAUUUUGUUUUCAUAUUUAAUAAAAAGAUUGUAAACAAAGCACUGUCGAAAAAUACAGAGGUUACAAACUGAGGUGCUGAUAAAAUUAUUGCCUAAGAAAAUUUUUUUCCUAAAUCCAGUUUUAGAAGUAUCUAUGCACAUUUUAUUAAACUUAUCAAAUUGAAUGCUUUAUUUUAAAUAUUUUGAUGUUCUUCUUUCCCAGUGAAUAAAUUCUAAAUAAACUGUGUAUAUUUAUGGGUACCUAGACACAUCACCAUGAAAAUUGUAAAAUGUAAUAUCAUAGAUUUCUUCUCCCUCACCUAUUUUUCAUUUUAUUGGUCACAUUGGUCCUAAAAGGCAACUAAAAUCAGUCUUCCACUUCAUCUACAUAUACCCAAGCAGUCCUCACAUCACUCACAAUUAUUGUACCAAACAAUCAAUUUCAAUCUUCUUUUUCUACUCUUUCCAUUUAUUUCACAUUUUGUAAUAUCAUGGAUAAAAUGUCUACAUGACAUCAUUAUAUUAUUAUUACUUCAAGAUGAUCAUCUAGAUGAUCAACUUAAGUUUUUGAGUAAUGAAAAAAAAUAUCAAAAUAAAGUUAAACAUCUUAUAUAUGAAUAGAAAAGAAGAAAAUUUUAAUUUAUG
Cinara cedri is the source of this 718-nucleotide non-coding RNA. Lineage: Eukaryota; Metazoa; Arthropoda; Insecta; Hemiptera; Aphididae. The record is from the annotation of a GenBank genome assembly.